UACGAAGGGGGCUAGCGUUGUUCGGAAUUACUGGGCGUAAAGCGCGCGUAGGCGGCGUAUUAAGUCAGGGGUGAAAGGCCUGGGCUCAACCCAGGAACUGCCUUUGAGACUGGUGCGCUCGAGUUCGGAAGAGGGUAGUGGAAUUCCCAGUGUAGAGGUGAAAUUCGUAGAUAUUGGGAAGAACACCGGUGGCGAAGGCGGCUACCUGGUCCGAUACUGACGCUGAAGUGCGAAAGCGUGGGGAGCAAAC
RNAcentral lists this ribosomal RNA (250 nucleotides) under uncultured bacterium. RNAcentral describes it as "partial 16S ribosomal RNA". It matches the Rfam family "Bacterial small subunit ribosomal RNA", at positions 524 to 773 of the family's 1533-position model. The record is from RNAcentral.